This 929-nucleotide ribosomal RNA is filed under the name Anonymus ruber. RNAcentral's name for it is "partial large subunit ribosomal RNA". It matches the Rfam family "Eukaryotic large subunit ribosomal RNA", at positions 317 to 1057 of the family's 3401-position model. Lineage: Eukaryota; Metazoa; Platyhelminthes; Polycladida; Anonymidae. The record is from RNAcentral.
UAAAUACCAGCANGAGUNCNAUAGCGAAGAAGUACCNNGAGGNNAAGUUGAAAANAACUUUGAANANAGAGUUCAAGAGUACGUGAAACCGCUGAGAGGCAAACUGGUGGAGCUGAAAUGGCCUCGGGGAAUUCAGUCUCCAGUGAGGUCACAGUUUUCAGUGUCAGAUUUAACGACUGCUCUGUUAGCUGUAGACUUUGCUGUAGGUGCACUUUCCUCGAUUCGGGCCAAACCACGACCGGCGAGUUUAGAUUGUCUAUCGUGCUUGGAAGGUAGCGCCGCCUUGUGCGGCGUAUUAUAGACAAGCGUAUGGAUUGAUCGGCGCGCCGGCAGAAAACGCCUGCCCUCGUUGGCUCAUUAUGACGGCUGUUUUCGAUGCUGGUCUGGCUUCACUACUUCGGUAGGGGAGUUGGAGCGGUGUUGAUUACGGACGCCCUCUAUGAUUGGCGUUAUAAAGUCUGUGGUUAUGAAGUAGGUAGUCCACCUGACCCGUCUUGAAACACGGACCAAGGAGUCUAACAUGUGCGCGAGUCAUUGGGUUUACGAAACCUACAGGCGCAGUGAAGGUAAAGAUCCAUAUUGGUGGAUUGAGGUGGGAUGCUGAGUUACGUGCUUAGCCGCACCACCGGCCCGUUCUUUAUCUAUCUGAUGAGGGCGGAGCAUGAGCGUACACGUUGGUACCCGAAAGAUGGUGAACUAUGCUUGCNCAGGUCGAAGCCAGAGGAAACUCUGGUGGAGGACCGCAGCGAUUCUGACGUGCAAAUCGAUCGUCAAACGUGAGUAUAGGGGCGAAAGACUAAUCGANCCAUCUAGUAGCUGGUYCCCUYNRARUUUYCCCUCAGKAUCUGNRCYMCGGGRGWAAAGMAAYUUUAUUAUMMGSUAAAGCKAANGAUUAGASGWANUKCUNNGAAANCGCUCUCCAYYUAUUC